AUGCCCAGUGAUUAUAAAAAGACGCGUUAUUCUGAGGGACACAACCUGCUACCAGUCUUUCAUCUUCUUUUUACUCUCUUUACCUCUUCCGUCUCUUCUCUCCACCUUCCCUUCUCCACUCAUCCUCCUACUCAAACUGGUAGCUGGUCCGCUGACUGCGAUUAUGAGAUAUGAGGGCAU
RNAcentral lists this small nucleolar RNA (180 nucleotides) under Monopterus albus (swamp eel). RNAcentral's name for it is "Small nucleolar RNA SNORD97 (ENSMALG00000012912.1)". It matches the Rfam family "Small nucleolar RNA SNORD97". Lineage: Eukaryota; Metazoa; Chordata; Actinopteri; Synbranchiformes; Synbranchidae. The record is from RNAcentral.